UCCUGCAAAUUCUAGUAAACAGGUGUCUCUCCCUCCCACCUGUCUUGAAAGCCCCUGUUUUCAGAGUCCACUUUUCGUUUGGCCAUUUCUUUUGAGGUGAAUUCUGACGUCUCAUGAGUGUGCAAUAAAGCAGUAGGAAGGUGCAGAUAACAACAUAAUGUCUUGGUGCUCUGGCUGAUGCAGUACAUUCUGGGACUUGGAGUAUCAGCGGUGUAUGUCUUAUACAGACAGCGAUCAUCAGUUUUGACUAUCUGACUGCUUUCAAACAUUUGGAAUAUGGCACAGAGGAAUACUGGGCUCUCAGGUCUAAGGUAGGUAAACACUUGCCAUUUGUUUGACAAAACGAGGGCUCACUGGAGAUUAUUGUUCUUGUUUAUUUCUAUGAAAUAUUGCGGAAUGUCUUAUUGUUUAGACCACUUUCUAUUUAACAAGCUUUGUCAACUCAUGAAAAACAAUGGUUUACCUAUAGCUCCAAUGAAAGUAGCAAUGAAAAGAAAAUGCCCUGCUGGUUCUCUGAUGGAAACAUGUUUAAGUGAAAAAGCAGCAUUAGCAGUCAUUAAUUUAGUUGAGAUAUAAAGAUAAACUCUGUUCGGGCGCUAGUUCUGUAAUAAGAUUAGGUUCACAUUGGUGUGAUGGACGUGUGUGUGUG
This is a long non-coding RNA of Gymnodraco acuticeps, 649 nucleotides long. RefSeq lists it as uncharacterized. The record is from RefSeq and is a predicted model, not a curated record. The transcript has 3 exons. NCBI's taxonomy places the organism in Eukaryota, Metazoa, Chordata, Actinopteri, Perciformes, Bathydraconidae.